GACGAACCGAGCGAACGUUGUUCGGAAUCACUGGGCUUAAAGGGCGCGUAGGCGGGCUGUCAAGUCUGGGGUGAAAUCCCGCGGCUUAACCGUGGAACUGCCUCAGAUACUGAUGGCCUCGAGGGAGAUAGGGGCGAGCGGAACUAAUGGUGGAGCGGUGAAAUGCGUUGAUAUCAUUAGGAACUCCGGUGGCGAAGGCGGCUCGCUGGGUCUCUUCUGACGCUGAUGCGCGAAAGCUAGGGGAGCAAACGGG
This 253-nucleotide ribosomal RNA is filed under the name uncultured bacterium. RNAcentral's name for it is "partial 16S ribosomal RNA". It matches the Rfam family "Bacterial small subunit ribosomal RNA", at positions 524 to 776 of the family's 1533-position model. The record is from RNAcentral.